CGGGUGAGUAACGCGUGAGGAACCUGCCUCAAAGAGGGGGACAACAGUUGGAAACGACUGCUAAUACCGCAUAAGCCCACGGCUCGGCAUCGAGCAGAGGGAAAAGGAGCAAUCCGCUUUGAGAUGGCCUCGCGUCCGAUUAGCUAGUUGGUGAGGUAACGGCCCACCAAGGCGACGAUCGGUAGCCGGACUGAGAGGUUGAACGGCCACAUUGGGGCUGAGACACGGCCCAG
This 233-nucleotide ribosomal RNA is filed under the name uncultured bacterium. Its description in RNAcentral is "partial 16S ribosomal RNA". It matches the Rfam family "Bacterial small subunit ribosomal RNA", at positions 103 to 334 of the family's 1533-position model. The record is from RNAcentral.